Molecule: long non-coding RNA, 294 nt
Organism: Gastrolobium bilobum
Lineage: Eukaryota; Viridiplantae; Streptophyta; Magnoliopsida; Fabales; Fabaceae
Exons: 3
Source: RefSeq, a predicted model, not a curated record
GUUAAAGGGGAAGAUCAAAUUCAUUGGCUCUGGUUCAAGAAGACUAGCUUUCUUUCUUCGUAAUUCUACUGAAGGGGACCUUCGGAAGGAAAGCGUAUUUUGAAACGACACUCCCUUUUCGAAUAAUCAGAGGCAGGGGAAGACCUGUCUUGCCAAAUACUACGUUCCUCUCGAGGCUUCCGAGAAGCAUAUGGUCGAAUACGAGUGCCUGCAGACGAUCAUUGAGAGAAUGGAGGAACUGGAAAAACUAGAGUGAAACAUUAUCUUACGGCAGAAUGUCAUAGCUGUUUGGGG